UCACCCUUUUAGCCUUUGGGCUGAGGACAGCACCUAUUCUUACCAGUUUAAUGUCUGAUAUGUCCUUUAUUUGAGGACUAUAUAUUAAAUGGAUUUUUCAGCAUAGGAGAUGAAAUAGGAGCAAGCUCCAUUGUUGCCAAGCUUCAAGCUGUUAUUAAAACAGUGGUGGCAGGGGAGUGUAGUGG
Eublepharis macularius is the source of this 185-nucleotide small nuclear RNA. RefSeq annotates it as U2 spliceosomal RNA. The transcript has a single exon. NCBI's taxonomy places the organism in Eukaryota, Metazoa, Chordata, Lepidosauria, Squamata, Eublepharidae. The record is from RefSeq and is a predicted model, not a curated record.